This 307-nucleotide long non-coding RNA is filed under the name Rattus norvegicus (Norway rat). RNAcentral's name for it is "long non-coding RNA NONRATT027610". Lineage: Eukaryota; Metazoa; Chordata; Mammalia; Rodentia; Muridae. The record is from RNAcentral.
CAGACCCAGGACGGAGCUAUUGGCACCAUGAACCCAGUGCUGCAUGCCAUCACCCCCACCCUCACCCCCGCCACUUCACCCUCAGUGCACACCACGAGCUGCCAUUUUGUACUCUGUAUUCCGGGGCUGCUUCUGAUUAGUUUGUCCUGGAGACCCGAUGGAACACCAGGGUGUAUGAUGGGCAGUGAAGAGGCAGGAUAUCACCCCCCCGGGUGAGUUCCUCUUUGCCUUCUAAGCCAGAUGCCUGAAAGAGAUAUGGAUGAGGGAAGUUGGACUGUGUCUGUGCCUGGUAUAGUGAUACUCUGUU